Molecule: long non-coding RNA, 632 nt
Filed under: Vigna radiata
Lineage: Eukaryota; Viridiplantae; Streptophyta; Magnoliopsida; Fabales; Fabaceae
Description: long non-coding RNA (VRAD_LNC004600)
Source: RNAcentral
AAAAAACACAUUAUAUGGUAUUUAAAUGACACACUUAAACUAACAAAUUAAAUGCAGCAAAAAUAAAAAAAAAUAAAAAUAAAAAUCAACACGUAAACUAAUAAAAGAACACAUGGUAAUCACCUCUUCAAACUAGGAAACAAGCAAGUGCUACAUGUCCCUUCCUAUUUCGUGAAUCAGCGUGCCUUUGUUUUAAAAGAAAGUUAAUGCAUGAAAUGGAUAAAAGAUGCAAUAGAAUGCGCCCCUGGACGAGAACUAAAUGAAGUCAACGCUUCAACAUUCCAAGACAAGAUUAAAUAAAUGCAAGUGCUAUAUUGAAAAAUGUGUUUCCAUUUCAAAUCAACGCAUCAUUUCUAAAAGAAAGAAAGGUAAUCAUAAUUGCCUCCUUAACGUAAUGUGCACAAUGUAAAAUGAAAUCACCAAAAGAUCUUCAAUAGCAAAAAGAUUGAAAGUGCGGUAAGAGAAUUAAAUCCAGAUCAUCACAUCGCUUGCGCCUUCUUCUAGCAACAUGAAAAAUUGUUCUUCUUCUCGGUCUCUGCAGCCCAUUUGCUCUCCAUCUACAAGAACGUCUAACAGCCAAGAACCAAAGCAGAGAAAAAAAAUGUUCAGAGUGUGACGGCAGUGCUCUCCUC